Molecule: non-coding RNA, 441 nt
Organism: Carica papaya (papaya)
Lineage: Eukaryota; Viridiplantae; Streptophyta; Magnoliopsida; Brassicales; Caricaceae
Source: RefSeq, a predicted model, not a curated record
UCCUUUUGCUUUCCUGGUCCAAAGUAUUUGCCCUUUUUCUCAGAAUACCAACAACCAAACUCUUUUUUUUUUUUUUUUCAAUUUCUUUUUCCCUCGCCUCGCUAUAUAUAAUUUACCAACAGGAAAUUGAGUGAGAAAAGAAAAGAACAGGAAAAUAGGUUACAGCCUCUUUUACGAAUAAAAAAUAAACUUAAAAUACGAAAGAAUUCCUCGUUUUUUCAACGGCUUGCUGUGUUCAUCGCUCUGCUUACGGGCAAUGCGAUUCUAGGGUUUUUCUCACUGGGUUUAAACGCGUCCCGGAGUUUUAUUGCAGCUCUUGUUUUCAGUAAUGGCCGCGAUAUAGAUUGUUGAAUAAUUGAGAAAACAGGGAUGGGUUCCUCUGACAUUUGGCUUCAGUUGGUGAACCCGUGCAGGGAGGCUGCUACGGAGCAGCGUCCAUGC